RNAcentral lists this long non-coding RNA (626 nucleotides) under Mytilus galloprovincialis (Mediterranean mussel). The record is from RNAcentral. Lineage: Eukaryota; Metazoa; Mollusca; Bivalvia; Mytilida; Mytilidae.
UGUUACAAAUUUUAGGGGAUACCGAUCUUCUUAAAGAUUAUGAUAAAUUAAGUUUAGUUAGUGAAACUGACAGUGGAGUUGUAUGUAAUAGUAGACCUAGUAGCUACAUUGGAAGUGGAAAUAUUUUACCCUCAGUGCAGGGAAGUUCUUAUAUUGUGAGGUGUCCUGUAUGUAAAAAACCUGUAUUUUUAGAUGAAAGUGGAUAUAAAUCUCUACCUAAAAAUACUAUUCUUGAGGCUAUUGUGGAAAAAUAUUGCAAUGAAUGUAAACAAUUACAAAAUCAUACAAGUAAAUGUCAAAUGUGUGAACAAACUGAUAAUUCUGAAGCUAAAGAUGCAUGUAGUAUGUGUGAACAAUGUGAAAUAUUUUAUUGUGAUACAUGUAAAGAUGUUUGCCACCCUUCGAGGGGACCUUUGGCAAAACAUAAUAUGGUGGGACCAAUUCAAGGGAGAGCUAUAUUACGGGCCAAAAAUAAAGCAAGUGAGGCAAAAUGUAUAGAACAUGAAGAAGAGCAUUUAAGCAUGUAUUGUUUAUUUUGUAAACUGCCUGUUUGUUAUGUCUGUCGACAAGAGGGACGUCAUGUUGAUCAUGAUGUCCAGGCCCUUGGGGUUAUGUCAAAAACUCAC